Suricata suricatta (meerkat) is the source of this 603-nucleotide long non-coding RNA. RefSeq lists it as uncharacterized. Lineage: Eukaryota; Metazoa; Chordata; Mammalia; Carnivora; Herpestidae. The record is from RefSeq and is a predicted model, not a curated record. The transcript is spliced from 3 exons.
CUAGGGGCGGGAAGUUGGGACGCGCGGGGGUCGCCCUGCUCCCGGCUGCACCCAGCUGCGCAGCUCUUGCAGGAGGAAACGCGCACGACUCGGACGCCCUUUUCUCACAACUUUCGGAAAACGAGGAAUUCCUCUCUCAGGUUGGAUCAAAGCCCCAGAGUUGAGAAAACCCGCCCAACUUAACCGGCUCGCCCCCACCCCCACAGCGUUUCUUUCUGGGCGCUCGAGUCGGCUGGUAACAAAAGGACCAGUGUUUCCCCAGCCCCUAAUACCUUUAUAUAAUCAAAGGUGGUUUUCUUGGAGUCAGAAAACUAAGCUAUUGAGACUCAGGGGGCGGCGGUAGGAAAAGAAACUUCUGCCGGCCGGCAGGUUUCAGCCACGUGAGAAAUGGUGACUUCACCGGUUUCUACUCUCCCAAGGCAAGACGGCCAAUAGAACAUUUUCAUGAUCUCCAAAUGUCCGGCAUCUGAGUCGGAACUGAGAACCGCUAUAGCCAGACUAGUCACUACUCAAGGGUGCUGACGUCCCCAGCCCUGACUAUCACAGUUACCUGGGGUGCCGGAGGAGUGGGGGGGUCAGAUUCUCAUUCUCAAAGAUGUCAAA